GGGGCCGGGCGGGUUUCGCCCUUGGAUGGAUCCUGCCCGCCAGGAGCUCUCCUGCCGUGCCUCGAGCUCUCCACAGGUCUCGGCAUCUCCCGCUCCCUGUGUCAGAGCUGCGAGGUGCUCGGGUGGGAGUCGGGCUGGCAUUCGUUUUGAUAAAGGCACCUUGAGAAACAUCUUGAGAAACGCAGCAAGUUGAAGCACAGGCUGGAAAAAAACACACCGUCUUUUAGGUACAGGAAGAAAAGAAUCCGUCUGUGGAACCUCCCUGUGCAAAAUGCCAAAUGUUCAGUUGGAAAGGAGACUUCUUCCCCCAGUCAGCUGCAGCAGAGGAUGCAGUGUCAGAGGUGGAGACGGCCAGAAUUAU
This is a long non-coding RNA of Serinus canaria (Common canary), 361 nucleotides long. RefSeq lists it as uncharacterized. The transcript is spliced from 3 exons. The record is from RefSeq and is a predicted model, not a curated record. NCBI's taxonomy places the organism in Eukaryota, Metazoa, Chordata, Aves, Passeriformes, Fringillidae.